Non-coding RNA from Vicia faba (fava bean), 210 nucleotides. NCBI's taxonomy places the organism in Eukaryota, Viridiplantae, Streptophyta, Magnoliopsida, Fabales, Fabaceae. The record is from the annotation of a GenBank genome assembly.
AUGCUUCACUGUAAAACCAAACAGAACAAGUCAAAACCUAUCAAAAUUCCAAACAUGACAGUCCAAUGCUGCAAAACCUUGCACAAGAAUAGAAAACUAAAAACUGCAUCAAGAAGGCAUUAUAACAGCAUACCUAAACAUUUCAAAUUCAUGCUAUCUUUCCCCCAAAAACCCCUUAUUUUCAAUAUAACAGGGACUGAAAAGAUAUAG